GAGGGUAUGGCUCAGUGGUAAGAGUGCAUACCUAGCAUGCACAAGGUCCUGGGUUUGAUCCCCAGUACCUCCA
Molecule: transfer RNA, 73 nt
Organism: Camelus ferus (Wild Bactrian camel)
Lineage: Eukaryota; Metazoa; Chordata; Mammalia; Artiodactyla; Camelidae
Rfam family: tRNA
About the family: Transfer RNA (tRNA) molecules are approximately 80 nucleotides in length.
Source: Rfam